RNAcentral lists this ribosomal RNA (440 nucleotides) under uncultured bacterium. RNAcentral's name for it is "partial 16S ribosomal RNA". It matches the Rfam family "Bacterial small subunit ribosomal RNA", at positions 338 to 795 of the family's 1533-position model. The record is from RNAcentral.
CCUACGGGAGGCAGCAGUAGGGAAUAUUGGUCAAUGGGGGAAAGCCUGAACCAGCAACGCCGCGUGGGGGAAGAAGGUUUUAGGAUUGUAAAACCCUUUUGUUAGAGAAGAAUAUGACGGUAUGUAACGAAUAAGCACCGGCUAACACCGGGCCAGAAGCCGAGGUAAUACGGAGGGUGCAAGGGUUACGCGGAAUCUAUGUGCGUAAAGAGGGCGUAGGCGGGGUAAUAAGUCAGAUGUGAAAGCCCGUAGCUUAACUACAGAACGUCAGUGGAAACUGUUACUCUUGAGUGUGGGAGAGGUAGGUGGAAUUCCUUGUGUAGCGGUGAAAUGCGUAGAUAUCAAGAGGAAUACUCAUUGCGAAGGCGACCUGCUGGAACAUAACUGACGCUGAUGCACGAAAGCGUGGGGAGCAAACAGGAUUAGAUACCCCAGUAGUC